GGGGGCACAGCUCAGCGGCAGAGCGCACGCCUAGCACGCAUGAGGUCCUGAGUUCCACCCCCAGUACCUCCG
This 72-nucleotide transfer RNA is filed under the name Camelus bactrianus (Bactrian camel). It matches the Rfam family "tRNA". Rfam says of the family: Transfer RNA (tRNA) molecules are approximately 80 nucleotides in length. The record is from Rfam by way of RNAcentral. RNAcentral also lists the same sequence under 1 other name. Lineage: Eukaryota; Metazoa; Chordata; Mammalia; Artiodactyla; Camelidae.